This 497-nucleotide ribosomal RNA is filed under the name uncultured bacterium. RNAcentral's name for it is "partial 16S ribosomal RNA". It matches the Rfam family "Bacterial small subunit ribosomal RNA", at positions 28 to 507 of the family's 1533-position model. The record is from RNAcentral.
GAUGAACGCUGGCGGCGUGCCUAAUACAUGCAAGUCGAGCGAACAGACGAGGAGCUUGCUCCUCUGACGUUAGCGGCGGACGGGUGAGUAACACGUGGAUAACCUACCUAUAAGACUGGGAUAACUUCGGGAAACCGGAGCUAAUACCGGAUAAUAUAUUGAACCGCAUGGUUCAAUAGUGAAAGACGGUUUUGCUGUCACUUAUAGAUGGAUCCGCGCCGCAUUAGCUAGUUGGUAAGGUAACGGCUUACCAAGGCAACGAUGCGUAGCCGACCUGAGAGGGUGAUCGGCCACACUGGAACUGAGACACGGUCCAGACUCCUACGGGAGGCAGCAGUAGGGAAUCUUCCGCAAUGGGGGAAAGCCUGACGGAGCAACGCCGCGUGAGUGAUGAAGGUCGUCGGAUCGUAAAACUCUGUUAUUAGGGAAGAACAAAUGUGUAAGUAACUAUGCACGUAGUGACGGUACCUAAGCAGAAAGCCACGGCUAACUACGUG